RNAcentral lists this ribosomal RNA (510 nucleotides) under uncultured bacterium. Its description in RNAcentral is "partial 16S ribosomal RNA". It matches the Rfam family "Bacterial small subunit ribosomal RNA", at positions 28 to 507 of the family's 1533-position model. The record is from RNAcentral.
GACGAACGCUGGCGGCGUGCUUAACACAUGCAAGUCGAACGAAGAGCGAUGGAAGCUUGCUUCUAUCAAUCUUAGUGGCGAACGGGUGAGUAACGCGUAAUCAACCUGCCCUUCAGAGGGGGACAACAGUUGGAAACGACUGCUAAUACCGCAUACGAUCCGACCUCGGCAUCGAGGAUGGAUGAAAGGUGGCCUCUAUUUAUAAGCUAUCACUGAAGGAGGGGAUUGCGUCUGAUUAGCUAGUUGGAGGGGUAACGGCCCACCAAGGCAAUGAUCAGUAGCCGGUCUGAGAGGAUGAACGGCCACAUUGGGACUGAGACACGGCCCAGACUCCUACGGGAGGCAGCAGUGGGGAAUCUUCCGCAAUGGACGAAAGUCUGACGGAGCAACGCCGCGUGAGUGAUGACGGCCUUCGGGUUGUAAAGCUCUGUUAAUCGGGACGAAAGGUCUUCUUGCGAAUAGUUAGAAGAAUUGGCGGUACCGGAAGAGAAAGCCACGGCUAACUACGUG